Molecule: ribosomal RNA, 474 nt
Filed under: uncultured bacterium
Lineage: Bacteria
Description: bacterial SSU rRNA
Rfam family: Bacterial small subunit ribosomal RNA
Source: RNAcentral
UGAGUAACGCGUGAGAAACCUGCCUUCCACAAAGGGAUAGCCUCGGGAAACUGGGAUUAAUACCUUAUGACACUUAAAGGUCGCAUGACCUUUAAGUUAAAGCGUAAAGCGGUGGAAGAUGGUCUCGCGUCCCAUUAGCUAGUUGGUGAGGUAAAGGCUCACCAAGGCGACGAUGGGUAGCCGGCCUGAGAGGGUGAACGGCCACACUGGAACUGAGACACGGUCCAGACUCCUACGGGAGGCAGCAGUGGGGAAUAUUGCACAAUGGAGGGAACUCUGAUGCAGCGACGCCGCGUGAGUGAUGAAGGCCUUCGGGUCGUAAAACUCUGUCCUAAGGGACGAUAAUGACGGUACCUUAGGAGGAAGCCCCGGCUAACUACGUGCCAGCAGCCGCGGUAAUACGUAGGGGGCAAGCGUUGUCCGGAAUUAUUGGGCGUAAAGGGUGCGUAGGCGGCCUUUUAAGUCAGAUGUGAA